GCGGGUGUGGCGGAAUUGGCAGACGCGCUAGAUUUAGGUUCUAGUGUCCGCAGGACGUGGGGGUUCAAGUCCCUUCACCCGUA
RNAcentral lists this transfer RNA (83 nucleotides) under Lactobacillus sp. YT155. RNAcentral describes it as "tRNA-Leu". It matches the Rfam family "tRNA". From Rfam's summary of the family: Transfer RNA (tRNA) molecules are approximately 80 nucleotides in length. Their secondary structure includes four short double-helical elements and three loops (D, anti-codon, and T loops). Further hydrogen bonds mediate the characteristic L-shaped molecular structure. tRNAs have two regions of fundamental functional importance: the anti-codon, which is responsible for specific mRNA codon recognition, and the 3' end, to which the tRNAs corresponding amino acid is attached (by aminoacyl-tRNA synthetases). tRNAs cope with the degeneracy of the genetic code in two manners: having more than one tRNA (with a specific anti-codon) for a particular amino acid; and 'wobble' base-pairing, i.e. permitting non-standard base-pairing at the 3rd anti-codon position. Lineage: Bacteria; Bacillati; Bacillota; Bacilli; Lactobacillales; Lactobacillaceae. The record is from RNAcentral. RNAcentral also lists the same sequence under 1 other name.